UGUCUCCCCAGUCCUUGGCGCGCGCCAUUUCUGAGAUCUGACACCAUCGUAGGCGCUUUGGGAGAUAGGAUUCCUCGAUCUCUCGAGUGUUGGAUAGGGGAACGAAAUGGAGAUCGUUGGAUCACGUAGGAAAGCUCUCCACUACGAUGCCGUAUCGACCAUCCCUCUCUACCGCUCCGCUCCAGCGCUCGAAGUCAGACUUGAGGAUUUCGAGCUCUUUGCCAUGGAUCGCCUCCGCGUUCUUAAAGGGAUUUCUGAUGCUUUGUCCCGUGGAAAGAAGCCGGAAGAAAUGCAACAAGUGGAACGCGAUCUAUGGAAAGCAAAUAUGAAGCAUCCGGAGGCAUCUGAGGUUGUCAACAAGGAUAUUAUAUCCCACUUUGUUCUCCGUCUCGCGUAUUGCAGAACGGAGGACUUGAGAAAAUGGUUUCUUUCCAUGGAGACUGCCCUAUUUCGUUACCGUUUUAUGUCUGAAAGCGUUGAAGCUCAGAGAGCACUGAUGGCUGAAUUUGACCUUCCAUACAAAGCAGUUAGCAACGCAGAAUUUGAGAGUACGAAGGACAAAUUGUGGCAAGUUGCACGUUCCGUCGUUCCGCCGUUAUCAACUGCCGAUACGGUAUUCUACAAGGUACCGUUUGAAGAAGUUCCAGAGCUUGUAGCUGGUCGUAGAGUGUUUGUCCAUAAGGGGCAUGCAUACGUUGCCAGGAAUCAGGUGGUUUCCCUUGUUGCCACACAAUUCCGCAGUCAUCUAUCGAAGGCACUCAUUCUCACAAACAGAAAGUGGAUAUCUACCAUCAGAGAACAAGAGAGUGAUCGGUUGGCUCCUAUUGUAGAAGCCCUAUGCACAAGCUACUUGGGUCCUGACUAUUCUGAGCCAAGAGAACUGGGUGAUAUAUCCAUAAAAGAGAUUGACCAAAUAGCUCAGAGUUCAUUUCCUCUAUGCAUGCGCCACCUGUUUGAAAAGCUAAGAGAGGAUCAUCACUUAAAGCAUGGAGGAAGGAUGCAGUUCGGCCUCUUUCUCAAGGGUAUUGGAUUGAAGCUGGAUGAUGCCCUUGCGUUUUGGAAAGCUGAGUUCUCCCAAAAGGUUGGUGCUGAAAGAUUUGACAAAGAAUAUGCAUACAGCAUUCGCCAUAAUUAUGGGAGAGAAGGGAAGAGAACCGAUUAUACUCCUUAUUCUUGUCAAAAGAUCAUCUCUUCAUCUCCCGGUGCAGGAGAUCAUCACGGGUGCCCCUAUCGACAUUUCAGUGAAGAGAAUCUAAGAGCUGCCCUCGGUAAAAUGAGACUAAAUAACAGGGCAGUUGAAGAUGUAAUGGACAAAGUGCGAAGUCGACAUUAUCAGUUGGCAUGCACCUUGACGUUUGAAGCUAUACAUGGCACAUCAUGUGAUGCUGGGAUUAACCAUCCAAAUCAAUACUUCACUGACAGCCAAAAGUACCUGCAAUCAAAGUAAUUCCUUUUGCAGAACCAGUCUACAGUGUAAAGAGAAUUUGUGACCGACAGAGAUGCAGUCCUCUUCAGUUCAGGUAAGCAUCUUGGAGGAUGCAGUCAUUUAUAUGCGCAUGUCCGUAACAAAACUAGUUCUGUUGUAUCGAGUGUUUAUGUAUAUAAUGUAGGUAGGUGUGACUUUCGUGGACAAUUAUACAAUGAGAAUUGAUUAAGAUGCUGCAUGGCAGUAUGGAAUUUUGAUGGGGUUUCUAACAAAUGUUCUUGUACUAAUUUUAAUAUCAAUGGAAUCCUCUUUAUUUGAGAA
RNA transcript from Carya illinoinensis, 1747 nucleotides. It is a transcript of the gene named probable DNA primase large subunit, with no coding region annotated. Lineage: Eukaryota; Viridiplantae; Streptophyta; Magnoliopsida; Fagales; Juglandaceae. The transcript has 20 exons. The record is from RefSeq and is a predicted model, not a curated record.